Molecule: ribosomal RNA, 482 nt
Filed under: uncultured bacterium
Lineage: Bacteria
Description: partial 16S ribosomal RNA
Rfam family: Bacterial small subunit ribosomal RNA
Source: RNAcentral
AUUGAACGCUGGCGGCAUGCCUUACACAUGCAAGUCGAACGGUAACAGGUCUUCGGAUGCUGACGAGUGGCGCACGGGGGAGUAAUACACCGGAACGUGCCCGAUCGUGGGGGAUAACGAGGCGAAAGCUUUGCUCAUACCGCAUACGAUCUACGGAUGAAAACGGGGGAUCUUCGGACCUCGCGCGCGCUGAGCUGCCGAUGGCGGAUUAGGUAGUUGGUGGGAUAAAAGCUUACCAAGCCGACGAUCUGUAGCUGGUCUGAGAGGAUGAUCAGCCACACUGGAACUGAGACACGGCCCAGACUCCUACGGGAGGCAGCAGUGGGGAAUUUUGGACAAUGGGCGAAAGCCUGAUCCAGCCAUGCCGCGUGCAGGAUGAAGGCCUUUGGAUUGUAAACUGCUUUUGUACGGAACGAAAAGCCGCUUUCUAAUAAAGAGGGGUCAUGACGGUACCGUAAGAAUAAGCACCGGCUAACUACGUG